Haliotis rufescens (red abalone) is the source of this 5030-nucleotide long non-coding RNA. RefSeq lists it as uncharacterized. The record is from RefSeq and is a predicted model, not a curated record. The transcript has 2 exons. Lineage: Eukaryota; Metazoa; Mollusca; Gastropoda; Lepetellida; Haliotidae.
ACCCUCUGGAUGCCAUUUGGGCAUAUAUGUCCCUACACAAAACGCAGGUGCUGUGCCAGAGGGACAUAUAUGUCCUUCUGAAACAUCAUGUUAAAAGAAUUGAAAUAAAAUAUUUUUUGAUUACCCCAAGCCCAUAGCAAUUGCAACAUCGCAAAAAGCAGUAAAUUUCCAACACAUCUGUUUCAUUUUCACAACUCUACUGUCAAUAAAUAACGCAUAUGGAGUUAGUCAAAUUCCCCUUGUUUACACUUUCGUUCAAAUUUGCCGCCAUUGAAAUAAUUUUUCAUUUCGAACAAUUUGCACCGACUGAUUGAAAAUCCACAUGCGAAGGAAUGUUUGAAACCUUCAUAAAUAUUUUGGUUAAAAGAUUGAAAAUGGUCAAAUAUCUACGCAUAUAUGUAUUAAUUAGCUAAUGAAACCAACUAAAUGUCCAGUUUAUCGAUGGUGAAUGGAGUGUAUAUUUUUUUUACAGUAUUUGUUCAAGGCCUCGUUCAUCACAUUCAUAUCAAAGCGUAUUCAAAAACAUUCAUACAGUUAUACAUACCUACUGACAUCUGUAAAAAACAGUCUGUGUGAAAAUGUGCCACUUCUCAUAUUCAUGCGUAUACUUAGAAAUUCCAUUCAUGCUUUCUAAACCUCAAAUUCUGCAAAAACACAGAAAAGGUACCGCAACUUUUUAGCCGAAACUUAAACAAAAUGGCGACCGAAGUUGAAGGUCGCUUAGCGGUACUUUUCAUGAGAGAAAAAAAGUCGAAAGCAUGUCUCCCAGAAGAAACGAAAACGCACAUGGUAAACGUUGACACACCCUUUUGGGUCUGUGUUGUUCAUGUUUUGUGACUGAUUAUAUGUAAGUCACGUUUUCGUAUGUUUAAUGAGGCGUGCCAAUUUAUUGAAAGACGUUGAAAAGUAGGUUGGUAGCAACGGCAUAUAGGAUAUUAUGCAGUGUCGAAUAUAUUUAUAAUUUAUUGGUUAUAUAAGUAUAUAAACAAGAACUAUAUGAUGUUGAAGUUUGAACGUGUAAAUGUCAGUUAAAAUUACUUGAAUACCGGUCCCCGAUGAAGCUAUUUAUUGCCUCGGUCUGAACGAGUUCGUAUGUCUAAAUAUAAAUAGCUAGCUCUUUGACAGUAGAAUUCAUUACUAAAUUAUUAAAGAUCUAUCGUUUAAUUUCAGUUUGUAAAUUUUGUAUUCAUACGGUUUGUUAUUGAUAAAUACCUUAUUAUUAUUAUUGCAAGACUAUUUUUUUUUUAUUUCACGAAUACAAAUGAAGCUGUUACGGUUAUCGACAGUUUGGUUUCAAUCAUCCACCAUAACGGGUUUGGCAAGAGCGGCAAAUUUCCGAUUGUUCGUCUGGAACGAAAUACCGUGACCCGCGAUCUUUGACAUGCCACGUCACAGAGGUUACAGGUGCCCGAUUAAAACAAAACAAAGUUCGAUGUUGAAAUCACCAACAGUGUUAAUUAAAUAUGACAUCCAAUGUAAAUAUUUAUACAUUAUAUGCUUUAAUCUUUAUCUUCGUGCUUUGUUUAUCGAAUCAGCGCGAUGAACACAAAUCAAAUAUAUAAAAACGUUCGCCUCCCGCCGAGAGCAUGAAUAUUCAUAGGGAUAAAAAUAGCCCCAUGUGACAGACGACAACAUUGCGAUCGAAGCUGUCCACCAAAAAAGAAUCAUGUCAGCGGUGGGAGUUGGCGACGACGAUGAUUUGGGGGAGUCGGACUUCGAGUCGGACAUAUCCGUCGAUUCUCUAGAUUCCGACUCCCAGGAAGAGAUAAGCGGUAAGUAACAUUAAUUCAUUUUCAGUAAAUUGAGUAGGUGUACUGUCAGUGUCAAAGCAAUGGCGGGAAUAAGAAUUUGUUAUGUUUUUGCAAUUUUCGAAAUUGUAGGCUAGAUCUAGAUCUACUCGUGAUAGUUGUGAUGUUUCAAAUGUUAAAAAUAUCUACCAUACCAUGAUAGUCAUAGUAGAAACAGCAAACUACCUUGUUGAGUAUUUCAUGAAAUAUGAAACUUAGAAUUGAUUUGAAAGAAAGGCUCUCAUGGUAGUGAAGUUUUAACAUGUCUACAUGUGGCCUACACAUGCUUUUGGUAAAGCUCAGUAAUAUUAAUGGAAAAAUGUCUUUGUUAAAAAUUAAAAUUAUCUUGAAGGACACACUAGUUCACACUUUGGACAUGAAGCCAUAUUUUAAAUGAGUAUAAUGAGUCAUUCCUAAAAAAUCUAAAAUGUCUAACUUAUUUUGAAAUUUUAAAAAUAAAUGAAUAUGUUUCAUAAUUCUAAAUGUUAAAUGUUAUAAAUAUAUCUAAAUGAUGUAGAUUAACAUUUACUAUAACUUACUAAGGGGAAAGGGGUGCUGCAUUGCACCAAGUGACUGUUGUCCUUGCGCCAAUGGGUUUGGGGGUCAGUGCACUGAACAAAUGUUCCCUCACCGGGCAGGCAGCCCGGAGACGCGGAAGCUAUGGCCAAUUUUUUGUUGAAAAUUUAGCAUCAUUGUAAAGCUUUUGAUUUUAAUUCUCACCCUGGAAAUGUUUGCAUCAUGAGUACACAAUUGUUUCCCUGUGACUACUCAAGGAAGCCCUUCAGUUUUCAUUAAUACAUUCAUGUGGAGCACAUAUAUCCUAAUCUUAUCUUUAUAUAGUAGUAAUGAAGAAUAAGUCUUUCAACAUGUUUAAUCUGUACCCAACUAAAAAGGUCACAGGUUAUACAUAUUAAUUACAAGCAAAAUAUUAGUCUUGACGAAAAUAAAGUUGCCACAUGAAUAUUGAUACUGUGUUGUAAAAUAUUCACUAGAUCUACAGGGUCUGAAACAGUUCCUUCAAUAAACUAAAUAUAUGUCUAUAGGUCUAUAUGUAUAUAUAUAUAUAUAUAUAUAUAUAUGAUAUAUUUUAUCUUUAUUAAAAUUUAAGAUUGAUAACAAACAUAAAAUACAUUGGAGAAAUGACAAACUUCCAUGAAGCAAUUUGCAAAAAGUAUGUAUCCAAGGGAGUUAUUAUAGGACAUAAACAAAUCACAUUAUCUCCCCUUGAUCACUAAUAAAACAUGAGUCAGCAGUUGCUUAGUUCCAAUUAUGAUAAGAAACAUCCAUGAAAAUUUGCAAAUUCAGCGAUAGAAACUAACAUUUUAGUCCACUAGUCCAUAUAUUAUAAUGAUGAGUAUAACAAAACCCUAUAAAAUUGGCAAAUGUCUACUAGUCCUUAUGAUACCUUAACUAUUAGACUGUUUUGCAAAUAUAUAAUCAGGAAAAUGACAUGGAAAUUAAUACCAGCUCACUUAUCCGUAGACAAAUUUCCAAAUCUUCCCAUUGUUUUAACAGUACAAUGGAAUUUUACCCUGUCUUGUAAAGUAUUUUAGUCCCAACCCUUCAUUUUGAUUUCGGUGUUAAGCAUCACAUAAAAAAAUACUAAAGAGGCAAACAAAUAAACAAAGCUAACCAUGUCCUCACUAUUGUGAUUGCAUUAAUUUAUCUGCAACCUCUUAAUUCUUAUGCUUUAAUUUUCAACCAUGUCAUUAUUCAAAAUUAUUUGAAAAGCUUUUAAAUUUCAUGAUAUUUGAAUUUUGAUAAUACAGUUAUACUCUGUCCAGGAUAUGGUCUGUGAAGUGGAAUGAUUCAUACAUGCUUUUUCCAUGCUCCUUUGUUAUUUGAAUGCAUGGACACACUACACAUAUCUAUCUUUUAACAAGGAAUCCUUUCCCUUAGCACUUUUAUAUGUGAUUGAAAAGGACAUUAUUAAUAAGAAGCAUUAUUUCAAAUUUCAGAUCACGAGGAAAAUAACCCGGAAGAGAGGGAAGAAGAGGCAGGUGCCAAACCAAUGGUCUGUGGCCCCUGGCUGCCUGUGCUGGACACGGACAGCUUUGACCUCGGCAACAGCAUUGACUUUGCCGAGGAGUGCGGCCAUGUCAACCCUCCAGAUUACCAUGCCCCUCCCAUAUGCUAUUUUGACCAGCAACUCAGAGGAGGGGAUUGAGGUGUUGAUUUGUUCGACCUGCUGGUCAGGGAGACAAACAGGUAUGCUGAGCAGUACCUGCAGGGCCGCACUCUAUCACCACAGAGCAGGGCUCGGGCGUGGAGACCCGUAGACCGGGUAGAAAUGCAGGCAUUUCUUGGACUCUUGUUGGCCAUGGGUGUCGUCAAGAAGCCAACCAUCGCUUCCUACUUGAAUGAGGGGGACAAGAACUGGCUGGCGUCAACACCUUCCUUCUGGGGGAUCAUGCCGAGGAAUCGCUUCUUAGUAAUCAUGCGGUUCCUCCACUGCAACGACAACUCUGUUGCAGUGCCCCGAGGGCAGCCAGAUCACGACCCCCUCCACAAGAUCAGGCCGGUUCUUGAUCUUGUGAAUGGAUCAUUCGCAAACUCUCAUGGGUAUGUUACCUUUUUACUUUCUCCAUUCUGAUAUAUCAUAUGAAAAGUAUUUGAACACCAUUCAUUAUGGCACUUAUUUCAUGUUGUACUGAUGGGAGGUUCUAAUGAAUUAAACAUGGUAAAUAACAAUAUGAAAAUUACAUAUACCAAAAAUUACAGAUUUGUUACAUGUACAUUUGUAAAACGAUUUUUUAUUUUAAACUUCUUAAGUAAAAAAUAAGCUAUAAGGAUCUAUACCAAAACGUCGCAUAUUCAAAACGUUUGCUGAGCUAUAAACUACUGGUAAUCACGUUAAUGCUUUAUAAUAUUUACAUAGACAGUUAGGGAAAGGGUUGUACUGUUAUAGUGUGAAAUUUGACAAUUGUGGGUUUUACCGUUGUUACGUAACGUCGUUUUUAGACGAAGAUGUACCAGAAAACAUACAUAUUAAUUCCAAUUGUUGCCACCGCUUUAUCCUUUAAUAUAAAUAUAAUAUUCGGUGUCAUUGAGCCUACAACGUUACUUUAAAAAUACCAUUUGUCCAAAUGUAGUAUAUCCUCAAGUCAAAAUCAUAAUAAGUAAUAUCCCUCACAGAUGAACAGUGUACAAAGUAUCUCAACGAUUACACUUACCGUAUUCGACGUAAUAAACGCCCAGGGCGCUCUCAAAAUUAGAAAUAGGGGGCUCUUAUUGGAAUAUUAU